Molecule: ribosomal RNA, 774 nt
Filed under: uncultured Neocallimastigales
Lineage: Eukaryota; Fungi; Neocallimastigomycota; Neocallimastigomycetes; Neocallimastigales
Description: partial large subunit ribosomal RNA
Rfam family: Eukaryotic large subunit ribosomal RNA
Source: RNAcentral
UAUGUGAUCGUCUCUCGCAUAUCAAUAAGCGGAGGAAAAGAGACUAACAAGGAUUCCCCUAGUAACGGCGAGUGAAGCGGGAAGAGCUCAAAUUUGAAAUCUUAAAGGGUUUCCCUUUACGAAUUGUAGUUUAAAGAAGUGUUUUCUGUUGAGGUUUUGGUAAAAGUUCUUUGGAAUAGGACAUCAUAGAGGGUGAGAAUCCCGUAUUUGACCUUUACUUUCAACUUUGUGAUACACUUUCAAAGAGUCGGAUUGUUUGGGAAUGCAGUCCAAAAUGGGUGGUAAAUUUCAUCUAAAGCUAAAUAUUGGCGAGAGACCGAUAGCGAACAAGUACCGUGAGGGAAAGAUGAAAAGAACUUUGAAAAGAGAGUUAAACAGUACGUGAAAUUGUCAAAAGGGAAGCGUUUGACACCAGUGUUGUUUUUCUGAAAAUCAAUUAAAGAACUGUUUAUGCUAAGUUGUUUAGACUUUAUCAGCUAACUGUUUAGUUUUGAGCUUUUCUUUAAUGCACUUUUCAGUUAACAAGUCAACAUCAAUUUCUUUUGCUGUAAAAAAGCUUGAGGAAGGUGGCUUGAGAUUCGUCUUAAGUGUUUAUAGCCUCUUGCCUAUGCAGUCGGAGAGAUUGAGGUCUGCAGCGUAGAUCCUUCGGGGCUAAAUGCAUUUGUGCUAAGUUAUAGCAUUUUAUAGACAACUUGUUGACUAUGAUUUGUCUUGUAGCUUACUCGCUUAUGUUAUUUUACCUACGCUUAGGAUGUUGAUCUACAGAGCGAGAGU